GACGAACGCUGGCGGCGUGCUUAACACAUGCAAGUCGAACGGAAAGGCCCUGCUUUUGUGGGGUGCUCGAGUGGCGAACGGGUGAGUAACACGUGAGUAACCUGCCCUUGACUUUGGGAUAACUUCAGGAAACUGGGGCUAAUACCGGAUAGGAGCUCCUGCUGCAUGGUGGGGGUUGGAAAGUUUCGGCGGUUGGGGAUGGACUCGCGGCUUAUCAGCUUGUUGGUGGGGUAGUGGCUUACCAAGGCUUUGACGGGUAGCCGGCCUGAGAGGGUGACCGGCCACAUUGGGACUGAGGUACGGCCCAGACUCCUACGGGAGGCAGCAGUGGGGAAUAUUGCACAAUGGGCGGACGCCUGAUGCAGCAGCGCCGCGUGCGGGAUGACGGCCUUCGGGUUGUAAACCGCUUUCGCCUGUGCCGAAGCGUGAGUGACGGUAAUGGGUAAGGAAGCACCGGCUAACUACGUG
Molecule: ribosomal RNA, 468 nt
Filed under: uncultured bacterium
Lineage: Bacteria
Description: partial 16S ribosomal RNA
Rfam family: Bacterial small subunit ribosomal RNA
Source: RNAcentral